CAGUCGCCGCGGGAAUACGGAGGGUGCAAGCGUUAAUCGGAAUUACUGGGCGUAAAGCGCACGCAGGCGGUCUGACAAGUCAGAUGUGAAAUCCCCGGGCUUAACCUGGGAACUGCAUUUGAAACUGUCAGGCUGGAGUCUUGUAGAGGGGUAGAAUUCCAGGUGUAGCGGUGAAAUGCGUAGAGAUCUGGAGGAAUACCGGUGGCGAAGGCGGCCCCCUGGACAAAGACUGACGCUCAGGUGCGAAAGCGUGGGGAGCAAACAGGAUUAGAUACCCCGGUAGUCCCUGUCUCUUAUACAC
This 301-nucleotide ribosomal RNA is filed under the name uncultured bacterium. RNAcentral's name for it is "partial 16S ribosomal RNA". It matches the Rfam family "Bacterial small subunit ribosomal RNA", at positions 509 to 809 of the family's 1533-position model. The record is from RNAcentral.